Molecule: ribosomal RNA, 301 nt
Filed under: uncultured bacterium
Lineage: Bacteria
Description: partial 16S ribosomal RNA
Rfam family: Bacterial small subunit ribosomal RNA
Source: RNAcentral
CAGUAGCCACGGUAAUACAGAGGGUGCAAGCGUUAAUCGGAAUUACUGGGCGUAAAGCGCGCGUAGGUGGUUUGUUAAGUUGGAUGUGAAAUCCCCGGGCUCAACCUGGGAACUGCAUCCAAAACUGGCAAGCUAGAGUAUGGUAGAGGGUGGUGGAAUUUCCUGUGUAGCGGUGAAAUGCGUAGAUAUAGGAAGGAACACCAGUGGCGAAGGCGACCACAUGGACUGAUACUGACACUGAGGUGCGAAAGCGUGGGGAGCAAACAGGAUUAGAUACCCCGGUAGUCCCUGUCUCUUAUAA